UUUUUCUUUUUUUUUUUUAAUUUUAUCAAAUAUUCAAAUAUAUGACUAAACUAUUCAAUUAUAGAACUGCAAAUUCCUCUCAAAAUCCCUAAUAAUCAAAUCCUAACCCACUACAAUGCUCACAGGCAAAUUAGUUGAAUUCAUCCUAAAUCACUAUUCAUCCAUUUUGUGGACUAAAAUGCACUAGCAAGCUCUGAGAGCCAUUAUUUGCAGAAAACAUGAUCCAAAAGGAAUAUUUAGUAGAAAUUUCUAAAACUAAUUAAUACAUAAUUUUAUUUUUAAUAGAAAAACUAAGUUAAACCAUGAAAAUUCACCAAGGUAUUAAUUUCUAAAAUUUGACUUGUCUUGCAUAAAAAUGUAGUUACAAUGCUUUCAGGAAAAUACAUCAAAGUACAAGUAUGAAAUCAAAGUACUGCUGACCUGUUUAUAACCAUGCAACACCUG
RNAcentral lists this unclassified non-coding RNA (444 nucleotides) under Hevea brasiliensis (rubber tree). Lineage: Eukaryota; Viridiplantae; Streptophyta; Magnoliopsida; Malpighiales; Euphorbiaceae. The record is from RNAcentral.